UAGGGAGUUUUCGGCAAUGGGGGAAACCCUGACCGAGCAACGCCGCGUGAGUGAUGACGGUCCUAUGGAUUGUAAAGCUCUGUUGUAAAGGACGAAUGGUAGAUUUAGGAAAUGAUUUCUACUUGACUGUACUUUACCAGAAAGCCACGGCUAACUACGUGCCAGCAGCCGCGGUAAUACGUAGGUGGCAAGCGUUAUCCGGAAUUAUUGGGCGUAAAGAGGGAGCAGGUGGUUGUAUAAGUCUGAAGUCAAAUACUGUGGCUUAACCAUAGUCAGCUUUGGAAACUGUAUAACUAGAGUGCGAGAGAGGUAAGUGGAAUUCCAUGUGUAGCGGUGAAAUGCGUAGAUAUAUGGAGGAACACCAGUGGCGAAGGCGGCUUACUAGCUCGAUACUGACACUCAGUCCCGAAAGCGUGGGUAGCAAAUAGG
Molecule: ribosomal RNA, 429 nt
Filed under: uncultured bacterium
Lineage: Bacteria
Also listed under: 1 other name
Description: bacterial SSU rRNA
Rfam family: Bacterial small subunit ribosomal RNA
Source: RNAcentral